CACCCGACCUCUGCCGUGCGCGCCCAUCCGACCCUGCCCUACAAGUUUCCAAGAAAAUUAUGACAGCCUCAACAAGUACUGAACGAAAAGAAGAUCUGACAACUACUCCCUCUGUCUCAUAAUAUACAGAAACAUCAGAAACUUGUGUACCUUCCAAAUGGACCAAACACUUUGUUGAUCGCUUGGAGAAAAUAUAUGCUUUGAGGAAGAAGAAUUGUUGUCGCGCUACCUACGUAAGAAGGUUGCCACAUAAGUAAUCAGGUUGAUCAUGAGCUUAACACUAAGCAGUUACAGAAAAUAGUAGAGAUGAAGCAAGCAACAAUAUUUACUUCCGGGAUAUUAUCAGCGGAUCCAUGAGAUGGUCAGGCUUUGAACCCUCUGCUGCCCACAAGUAUCAGUAUCAAAAUGACCUUGCCCAGGUAGUGUACCACCACAUAUUAGCAUGAGCUCGUCCAAAUACAAGACACGGUGGGGACUGAAGAACAACGAGACUGCAAACAGAAUUAGCAUUGUAGGAACCGCG
Molecule: long non-coding RNA, 523 nt
Filed under: Triticum aestivum (bread wheat)
Lineage: Eukaryota; Viridiplantae; Streptophyta; Magnoliopsida; Poales; Poaceae
Description: long non-coding RNA (TAES_LNC026189)
Source: RNAcentral